Monodelphis domestica (gray short-tailed opossum) is the source of this 68-nucleotide microRNA precursor. Ensembl annotates it as mdo-mir-186. Its record names the gene mdo-mir-186. Lineage: Eukaryota; Metazoa; Chordata; Mammalia; Didelphimorphia; Didelphidae. The record is from Ensembl.
ACCUUCCAAAGAAUUCUCCUUUUGGGCUUUUGAUUCUUAAUUUCAGCCCAAAGGUGAAUUUUUUGGGA